This 300-nucleotide ribosomal RNA is filed under the name uncultured Lactobacillus sp. RNAcentral's name for it is "bacterial SSU rRNA". It matches the Rfam family "Bacterial small subunit ribosomal RNA", at positions 496 to 795 of the family's 1533-position model. The record is from RNAcentral. Lineage: Bacteria; Bacillati; Bacillota; Bacilli; Lactobacillales; Lactobacillaceae.
GCGAAGGCGUGGCCAGGAGCGAAGGUAGUACGUGGGGUGCAAGCGUUGUGCGGAGUUAUUGGGCGUCAAGCGACGGCAGGCGGUUCCGUAAGUCGUAGGUGAAAGCCCACGGUACAAACGUGGAAGGUCAUUGGAAACUGGGGAACUUGAGUGCAGAAGAGGGGAGUGGAAUUCCAUGUGUAGCGGUGAAAUGCGUAGAUAUAUGGAGGAACACCAGUGGCGAAGGCGACUCUCUGGUCUGUAACUGACGCUGAGGCUCGAAAGCGUGGGGAGCAAACAGGAUUAGAUACCCGGGUAGUC